RNAcentral lists this ribosomal RNA (855 nucleotides) under Pseudorhizina californica. Its description in RNAcentral is "Gyromitra californica partial large subunit ribosomal RNA". It matches the Rfam family "Eukaryotic large subunit ribosomal RNA", at positions 71 to 938 of the family's 3401-position model. The record is from RNAcentral. Lineage: Eukaryota; Fungi; Ascomycota; Pezizomycetes; Pezizales; Discinaceae.
GGGAUUGCCUCAGUAACGGCGAGUGAAGCGGCAACAGCUCAAAUUUUAAAGCUGGCGCCUUCGGCGCACGCGUUGUAAUUUGGAGAGGCAUCUUCGGUUCGGGCGCCAGCCUAUGUUCCUUGGAACAGGACGUCACAGAGGGUGAGAAUCCCGUGCCUGGCUGGCUGUCCCGACCCAUGUGAAGCGCCUUCGACGAGUCGAGUUGUUUGGGAAUGCAGCUCAAAAUGGGUGGUAAAUUUCAUCUAAAGCUAAAUAUUGGCGGGAGACCGAUAGCGCACAAGUAGAGUGAUCGAAAGAUGAAAAGCACUUUGAAAAUAGAGUUAAAAAGUACGUGAAAUUGUUGAAAGGGAAGCGCUUGAGACCAGACUCGGCUGGGGAUGAUCAGCGGCCCUUCUGGGCCGUGCACUUGUCCCCGGUCGGGCCAGCAUCGGUUGAGGCGGUGGGAUAAAGGCCCGGGGAAUGUGGCUCCUCUCGGGGAGUGUUAUAGCCCCGGACGCAAUGCCGCCAGCCUUGACCGAGGGCCGCGCACUUUGUGCUAGGAUGCUGGCGUAAUGGUCUUCAGCGACCCGUCUUGAAACACGGACCAAGGAGUCUAACAUCUAUGCGAGUGUUUGGGUGUCAAACCCUUGCGCGGAAUGAAAGUGAACGGAGGUGGGAACCCCUCGCGGGGCGCACCAUCGACCGGUCCUGAUGUCUUCGGAUGGAUCUGAGUAGGAGCAUAGCUGUUGGGACCCGAAAGAUGGUGAACUAUGCCUGAAUAGGGUGAAGCCAGAGGAAACUCUGGUGGAGGCUCGCAGCGGUUCUGACGUGCAAAUCGAUCGUCAAAUUUGGGUAUAGGGGCGAAAGACUAAUCGA